GCUCAGUGAAAAAGUUUGUAGAGGUCUUAAGUGAGAACUGACAAUUUCAGAAGGAAUCCCUCACCAUGGCAGGGUUGAUUAUUUUCCUGCUGCUCAGUGCUGCCUUUUCUCUGGGAGAACUACAUUGGUGGCCACUUAGGUGCCCUGGGGAAUGGCGCCAGUUUGGUUCCCAUUGUGUCAUUUUCGAUGAGACUCCAUGAUCUUGGGCGGAUGUGGAGGUAGCCCCCGAACCCCUCCAAGAACUGCCACCUUAACGUGGUGGAGGGGUUUGAGUACCCGAGUGACCCUAGGAGCUAUGUUGUCUUUGGCUAUAUGCCCCUGGUAGGGUCUCCCAAGGCAAACAGGUCUUAGGCG
This is a long non-coding RNA of Esox lucius (northern pike), 354 nucleotides long. The record is from Ensembl. NCBI's taxonomy places the organism in Eukaryota, Metazoa, Chordata, Actinopteri, Esociformes, Esocidae.